AAGAGACGACGAACUAAUAAAAACUGCUAUUUAUUUAUAAUUGAGGUUAAACUCCACAAGUCUUUUA
RNAcentral lists this transfer RNA (67 nucleotides) under Gymnopis multiplicata. RNAcentral's name for it is "tRNA-Ser". Lineage: Eukaryota; Metazoa; Chordata; Amphibia; Gymnophiona; Dermophiidae. The record is from RNAcentral.